Molecule: small RNA, 123 nt
Organism: Photorhabdus luminescens
Lineage: Bacteria; Pseudomonadati; Pseudomonadota; Gammaproteobacteria; Enterobacterales; Morganellaceae
Rfam family: isrA Hfq binding RNA
Source: Rfam
ACCUGCACUGGCUGCCCGGUCACAAAGCCCGCUUCUUCCAGCCAAUUACCUUUAAGAUGCAAGCUGGGAUGCUGGCUGUAAUAGCGGGUCAUGCCAGUGUGGCGGUCGGCGUGACAUCGGCUG